CCUACGGGAGGCAGCAGUGAGGAAUAUUGGUCAAUGGCCGCAGGGCUGAACCAGCCAAGUCGCGUGAGGGAUGACUGUCCUAUGGAUUGUAAACCUCUUUUGUCAGGGAGCAAAGGGCGCCACGUGUGGCGCUUUGCGAGUACCUGAAGAAAAAGCAUCGGCUAACUCCGUGCCAGCAGCCGCGGUAAUACGGAGGAUGCGAGCGUUAUCCGGAUUUAUUGGGUUUAAAGUGUGCGCAGGCGGAAUGUCAAGUCAGCGGUAAAAUUUCGGGGCUCAACCCCGUCGUGCCGUUGAAACUGGCGUUCUUGAGUGAGCGAGAAGUAUGCGGAAUGCGUGGUGUAGCGGUGAAAUGCAUAGAUAUCACGCAGAACUCCGAUUGCGAAGGCAGCAUACCGGCGCUCAACUGACGCUCAUGCACGAAAGCGUGGGUAUCGAACAGGAUUAGAUACCCUAGUAGUC
Molecule: ribosomal RNA, 459 nt
Filed under: uncultured bacterium
Lineage: Bacteria
Description: partial 16S ribosomal RNA
Rfam family: Bacterial small subunit ribosomal RNA
Source: RNAcentral